Leptonychotes weddellii (Weddell seal) is the source of this 2753-nucleotide long non-coding RNA. RefSeq lists it as uncharacterized. The record is from RefSeq and is a predicted model, not a curated record. NCBI's taxonomy places the organism in Eukaryota, Metazoa, Chordata, Mammalia, Carnivora, Phocidae.
UAAUCAUCCUUGUCCUAAGUGUCCCCAGCCUGUGCCCGUAAAUGUCCUCUGCCCCCCAUGCCUGUUCUCCUGCCGUCACUGGCUCAUUGGUCUGUGGCUCUCUAGGACCACGAGAGGCUCUGGAAGGCAAGGGCUCUGGCGGGAUCUAUAUUUGGUAAAAGCUGCGUUCAGAACACCAUCAUGGAGAGUCUCCGUGUGCCUGAGCGUCCUGAAGGCCCAGAGAAGUCCUGACAUAAAGAAACCUGAUGAAGUUAGCGCCAUACAGGCUUUCCUGGAAUCCUCUGGACCCUGAUUUGAAAUGACAACACCCUGCUGGAAUCAGCGCACACGUAGGGAUGGAUGUCUGCAGGGCGCUGGAGAGACAGCCCGUCGUCUACAGGGGACACUUCUCCAGUAGAGCCUGAGUCCUCACCCUUGGCCCCAGGCCUCAGAGCUGGCUCUCAGGGCCUAGGAUGCCAGAGAAGCAGGUGUACGUGAGACCUGGCCAUCCACACCAACCUUCCAGGACAAGAAGCCACUUUCUGACUCCGGGUCCAGUGCUCUGCCUCUCAGCAUUCGCCCGGCCAGCCCAGAAUAAACAAUGGUGUAAUAAACAACUUUCAACAGAUCUCUGGGUGAGAGCAUAUGCAGGAAAGAUGGAUUCCUACACCUGGCACACAGGAGUCAGAGCCUGAGAAGAAAAGACCAGGGAGGAGGCUGAGGUUCCGAGUAGACCCCAAGCAGCUGCGAUUAAAACGUUCCCAGCGUGGGCGGGCGCCCAAGGCCCGCCCUGUUGCGCUCCCCUCCUUCCUCUCCCAGCCAUCCCAGGCUCUCCCCCGCUCCUAUCGGGGCGGUCCGGCCCCCACUCUCCCGCCUGCGGCCCCCGCGGCAGCAGAGCGGCCCGCGCCUCAGAGGAACCAAAAAAAGCCGGCGCGUGGUGUGCGCGCGAGCUGCGCGGGGCCCUGGCGCUGCUGUUUUUAGUGUGCCUGGAGCCCAGAAUAUAGACUUAAUCACCCCCAGGAAACGCGGCCAUAAUAUUUUUGGUUGCAUAAGCAAACUAAAUUAGAAAUCUGGAGCGCGUUCAAGACCUUUAGAUGCGAGCGCGGGGGACCAGGGGAGAGACAGAUGGGGAUUAGGCGAGCUGAGCAUCAGGAGAAUAAUUUCCUCUUUUAAUUUGGGUUCCAUCGACCAGGAAAGCAGCAUUAACGGCCCAGUUACGUAACCGGCGCCAGGGCCCGCUCGCAUGAGCCGCCGCAGCGAGCCGGCCCGGCCCUCCGCCUCUGCACCUGCCCGCCAGCGCGGCCUCAGCCCACUCAGCCGCCCCGGGGAGGCGGGCGCUGGCGUUAGCCUGCUCCACCCGGAGUUCUCCGACAACGCCAGUGAGUCGUCCCGGGCCACCCAACUCAGAACUGGCGCUCGGGAUCUGAACUCGGCGGGGGGGGUCUUGAAAGAGGCUCCCCAGGUCCUUGCGCAAAGACGGAGUGUCCCACAGCCCGGCUCGCUGGGGGAGCGCUGAACGCAGCCUGAGGAUGCCCACUGCAGGAUUGUAGGCAAUGAUAGGAAAUUGGAACCUAGAAAAUGUUUGAUAGUGAGGGGAACGGGCAGGUGAACUACAGAGCAUGCAUACUAGGGCAUAUUCUAGAGCAGCACAAAAAACUGGGGUGAUCUCUCCGUUCAGACGUGGACUGUCCAAGACAGAAUUGAGGAGAAGAGAGCAAGUUGCAGAACAACACGAGCAUGAGUCUGGUUUGUGUUAAAAAACAAACUGCAUAUCCCCGCAAAACCCUCUCUCCGCAUCUGCAAUGUACAUGAAAGUGACUGCCUUUUAAAAAAGGGCCAGGAGGGUGGUUAAGGGCACUGAUGGGGCAGUCCCCUUCGGAGGCAGGCAGGGCAUAAAAGAAGGUCAGGGGGAAUUUGCAUGUGACUCACACCAGAAUGUAAACGUGUGUGCUUGUGUUAUUUAGAAACAAACCCCCAAAGGCAUGAAGGCUGGGGGUUAGCCUUGCAGAUGGAAGCUGGACCUUGCCUCCAGCCAACGUUGCAGAAAGCAAGAAGGAAGGUCUGGCUGUGCCUACUGAAUGUUGGAGCAGGGAGGGUCUUAGAGAGGGUGCGGCCCAACCCCUUCUGAUCUGAACAGGGAAGCCAAAGCUCCGCCCGGGAGGGGCCCACACAAGCUGGCAGCUGCGGGGAGGAGGUAGGAGCCGUGGGUUGUCAGCCUGUGGUUUUGCUACCACCAAUUCUCAAAAAUGCUGGGGUCAGGGUGGUGCAGGAGAAGGAGGCAGGAAGGCAGGAAGGCAGGAACUAGGUAUCCAUGGAGUGGGAUAGAUGGGGAGCAAUCAGAUGUCCAUCCAUCCAACCAUCCCACAAACACGUCGAGGGCUAUGGUGGAUAUAAAGCAUGUCUGCAAAUUCUUCAGCACUCUUCCCGUUGGAAAGUGGGGUCUCUGUCUCUUCCCCUUGAAUUGGGCUCACCUGAGUGAGCCCACAGACAGCAGUGGAAGGCUGGGUGAGAAAAGACCGUGCAGGUUUCUCCUGGCCGUGUCAGAAGGCCGGCCACUGUGCGGCUGCCAUGCGGGGGAGACCUCUUGGAGCCCCUUGGAGCCCCGGGAACCACCAGCAUCAGCGUGCGUACGCCAUCCUGUUCAUCCUGCCGAGUAGAACCUUCAGGAGAUUGCAGCCCACCGCAGACCCCCAGUGAGAACUGCCUGGCUGAGCACUCUCCAGAUUCCAGGUUCACAAAACCAUAAGCAAAAUAGAAAGAGUAAUUUUAAGCCA